This 323-nucleotide long non-coding RNA is filed under the name Bos taurus (domestic cattle). RNAcentral describes it as "long non-coding RNA NONBTAT019805". Lineage: Eukaryota; Metazoa; Chordata; Mammalia; Artiodactyla; Bovidae. The record is from RNAcentral.
CACAAGGUUAAAUCUGUUUAUUCCGAACUAAGGUUGCAUUAAUCAUGUCUUCAUCUACAAUCAACCUAAACUUCACCUAUUACUGUAAACAAUAAAGACAGAUGAGGCCCAGCCCGGCUGUCUGGUGGGGCUGCCGUUGGCUCAGAUCCUUGCAGCCUCCUGAAAACCAGAGCCUCCAGUGCUGCUCUCCUCCUGGGUUUCAGUGCUCUGCGGUUUCUUAUCACUUGCUUUAAAAAUAACUUCUUAACAAAAGCAUUUUCUAAAGAUCACAAGCAUGCACACCAGCAACACUUCAGACAUCUCAUCCACCAACACCACAAAGC